UGGGGAAUUUUGGACAAUGGGGGCAACCCUGAUCCAGCAAUGCCGCGUGUGUGAAGAAGGCCUUCGGGUUGUAAAGCACUUUUGUCCGGAAAGAAAACGUCGUGGUUAAUACCCGUGGCGGCUGACGGUACCGGAAGAAUAAGCACCGGCUAACUACGUGCCAGCAGCCGCGGUAAUACGUAGGGUGCAAGCGUUAAUCGGAAUUACUGGGCGUAAAGCGUGCGCAGGCGGUCCGCUAAGACAGAUGUGAAAUCCCCAGGCUUAACCUGGGAACUGCAUUUGUGACUGGCGGGCUAGAGUAUGGCAGAGGGGGGUAGAAUUCCACGUGUAGCAGUGAAAUGCGUAGAGAUGUGGAGGAAUACCGAUGGCGAAGGCAGCCCCCUGGGCCAAUACUGACGCUCAUGCACGAAAGCGUGGGGGAGCAAACAGGAUUAGAUACCCUGGUAGUCCACGCCCUAAACGAUGUCAACUAGUUGUCGGGUCUUCAUUGACUUGGUAACGUAGCUAACGCGUGAAGUUGACCGCCUGGGGAGUACGGUCGCAAGAUUAAAACUCAAA
This 558-nucleotide ribosomal RNA is filed under the name uncultured bacterium. RNAcentral describes it as "partial 16S ribosomal RNA". It matches the Rfam family "Bacterial small subunit ribosomal RNA", at positions 355 to 905 of the family's 1533-position model. The record is from RNAcentral.